GUGGCGAACGGGUGAGUAACACGUGAGUAACCUGCCCUUAACUCUGGGAUAAGCCUGGGAAACUGGGUCUAAUACCGGAUAUGACUCCUCAUCGCAUGGUGGGGGGUGGAAAGCUUUAUUGUGGUUUUGGAUGGACUCGCGGCCUAUCAGCUUGUUGGUGAGGUAAUGGCUCACCAAGGCGACGACGGGUAGCCGGCCUGAGAGGGUGACCGGCCACACUGGGACUGAGACACGGCCCAGACUCCUACGGGAGGCAGCAGUGGGGAAUAUUGCACAAUGGGCGAAAGCCUGAUGCAGCGACGCCGCGUGAGGGAUGACGGCCUUCGGGUUGUAAACCUCUUUCAGUAGGGAAGAAGCGAAAGUGACGGUACCUGCAGAAGAAGCGCCGGCUAACUACGUGCCAGCAGCCGCGGUAAUACGUAGGGCGCAAGCGUUAUCCGGAAUUAUUGGGCGUAAAGAGCUCGUAGGCGGUUUGUCGCGUCUGCCGUGAAAGUCCGGGGCUCAACUCCGGAUCUGCGGUGGGUACGGGCAGACUAGAGUGAUGUAGGGGAGACUGGAAUUCCUGGUGUAGCGGUGAAAU
This 580-nucleotide ribosomal RNA is filed under the name Arthrobacter sp. I14A-00930. Its description in RNAcentral is "bacterial SSU rRNA". It matches the Rfam family "Bacterial small subunit ribosomal RNA", at positions 95 to 687 of the family's 1533-position model. Lineage: Bacteria; Bacillati; Actinomycetota; Actinomycetes; Micrococcales; Micrococcaceae. The record is from RNAcentral. RNAcentral also lists the same sequence under 1 other name.